This is a long non-coding RNA of Bos grunniens (domestic yak), 2913 nucleotides long. The record is from Ensembl. NCBI's taxonomy places the organism in Eukaryota, Metazoa, Chordata, Mammalia, Artiodactyla, Bovidae.
UGCGGCUCACUUGUGGUCCUUCAAAGUGUCUAUCUCGUAACUUUUCCAUUAUUGUUUCUAUUGCCAAGUACCUGAUUUCUAUAUGUUACCGAGUUAAAUCCUUGAAAAGAGAAUCCCUCUGGUUCACCUUGUUCCUGUUUGUGCAGAAAUUUGUUUUAUUUUUGGCUGUGCUGUGUCUCUGUUGCUGUGUGAGGGCUUUUUCUAGCUGCUGUGAUUGCGGGCUAGUCUUCACUGUGGUGUAUGACCUUCUCAUUGUGCUGGCUUCUCUUGUUGUGGAGCACAGGCUCUAGGCAUGUGGGCUCAGUAGUUGUGGCUUAUGGGCUCCAGGGUGCGGGCUCAGAGUUGGGGUGCACAGGCUUAGCUGCUCCAUGACAUGUGGGAUCUUCCCAGACCAGGAAUAGAACCCUUGUCCCCCGCAGUGGAUUCUCAACCACCAGACCACCAGGCAAGUCCCAGUGCAGAACUUUCAAUGUCAGGCCCUCUCCUAAGUGGCAACUCUAUGGAUUGGCCUAACUGCUUUCUAUUCAACUGGUAGCCCACAAAGAAGCUAGGACAAGUGUCAAGUGGAAUUUCUGAUGCCCCAGAACCAUUGUUUUGCUAUGACCAGCCAUAUGUGGAGUGUGUCUUUUGUGCAGUGCUUGACCCAGCCUGGUUAUACUGAUGGAUUUUCACUGCCUUGUGCAUCUUGUGACCAAUAGCCUGAGAAUGCAAAAUGCUGGGGUUAGGAGUGGGUGGGUGGCACUAUGACUGGGUGUUUCUCUGUGUAAGACUGUGAAAAAUGCAGCCAAGAAAACUGGAUGUUACUGCUUUCAUUUUGUUUCAGGAUAGGCCUGCCUGGAUGAUCAAAACAGAUGGAAAAGAGGCAUAUGGGGCAAUAAUCCUGUUCCUUCGCCUCCUGCUUUCUAGUCAACUGGAAACUUCACAAGGGAAAAGAAAAAAAAAAAAUGCUGCUAGACCUUCAACUGUAGUUGGAGAAUCUGGCAAUAUGAAACACUGAGAAUCCCAGGGACAGGGGAGCCUGGUGGGCUGCCGUUUAUGGGGUCGCACAGAGUUGGACACGACUGAAGCGACUUAGCAGCAGCAAGUUUAAGAAACAAAACCAUAGUUUCCUUGGAUGUUCAGAAAAGUGUAAAGCAAUCUCUCCUUUCAAUUAAAGUUCUUUUUAUUUCUUUCUUUUCUCUCUCUCCCUAUUUCCUUUUCAGAGCGGCACCCAAUGUUUUUAUCAGAGUUUUCAGCUUAUUCCCAGAUUAUUUGGUACUUUUAAAAUGACUUGAUUUUUAUUUGACUGUUUGCAUCCAGUUUUAACUUAGUGAUUGUGGCAUAUAUUGACAGAUACUUUAUUCUGUUGGAGAAUCUCAUUAGAUUUUUUUGUACUUUUUUGUUUUAAUUUCAUGUAAGUUAUAAAAACCCUAGUUAACCUGACUUGAAUCUGAUUUGAAAUGUAAUCAGUGGAGGCCUACCUCUACUUCAUUAAGAUGUUGGAAAAUUUGUGUUUUUAUUCAUCUCACUGUAUAAUUAAUUUUGGUUUUGCUUUUUGAUGCAAAUCUGAGUUGUGUUUUAUUCAUAUGAUAAAGGCCCUGGAAUAAAUCACCACCUUUAUACUAUCACAUGGAGCAGAUGGCCCAUAUCAUUGAAAUUUACAAGAUAAGUCCAAAGCCAUUUUUCAGAUACUAAACCAAAGUUGAUGAAGGAUCUUUUUCCUGGAAUUGGAGAGAAAGGUACAAAUUGCCCUCAAUAAAGUUUUCUUUAACUUUCUGUUGUUUCAUAAUUUGAUGACUUGAAGAUAAUGCUAACCUAUCCAGACUCUAGACUUCCUUUUUUUCCUCAAUAGAUUACUUUAAACUAUGUUUUAAAUUAAAUAUAAUGCUUAUCUGUCUACACUAUAUUUAUAGAUUAUUUGGGUCAGCAUCAUUAGUAGCCAAGAUAAUUAGAACACUAAUAUAAAGUGCCUUCAAACGUGUGUGCGUGCUUCACCCUUUAAUUAGAAAGUCCUUUAUAGUUUCAUGUAUGGGGCACCCUUAUCACAUUUAUGGGAGAUUUUUUUCUCCAAAGAAUUAAUUUAAAUGAUUUAGAAAUUAUGUGUGGAGAGGAAUCAUUACUCUUAAUGACUGAACAGAGGGAAUUCAUUUGAAGAAAUAUUGAAAUUAAUAAUCAGGAGUCCAAAUACAAAACUGUCUUAUGGAACUUUGAUUUUAUUUCCAAAAUGAAGUGUAAACUCCUCAUCCCAUGAAGAAAUAAAAAUUUGUUAAUCCAGAUAUGUUAUCUAUGAAAUUAUCUUCACUUAAUCUCAUGAAGUAAAAUUAAAAAUUUUUUCAUGUAACGUGUAAGUUUAAAGUGUACAAGGUGAUGAUUUGAUAUACAUGAAUAUUUGAUAAAUGAUUAUCACAAUAAAAUUAGUUAACAUAUAUAUCAUCUCACUUAGUUGCCAUUUUUGGGAGGUGGUGAGAACUUUUAAGAUCUACUCUCUUAGCAACUUUUAAGUACCCAAUAAAGUUGUUGCUAUUGCAUGGUUAACUAUAAUUAUAAUGCUGUAUGUUAGAUUCUUCAGAACUUAUUCAUUUUAUAGCUGAAAGUUUGUACCAUUGACCAACUUUUCCCUACCCUCUCCCUGGCAACCACCUAUCUACUCUCUGUAUCUAUGAGUUUGAUGUUUUUAGAUUCCACAUGUAAGUGAGAUCAUUCAGUAUUUGUCUUUCUCUGUCUGACUUAUUUCACUUAGUACAGUGGCCUCAAGUUUCAUCUGUGUUGUUACAAAUGGUGAGAUUGCCUUCUUUCUGUAGCUGAAUAAUGUUCUACACACACCGUGUCUUCAUUAAUUAUUCAUCUGCUGCUGGUCACUUAGUUUGUGUAUCUUGGUUACUGUAAAUCAUGCUGCAGUGAACAUCGGGGUAUAAAUAUCUGUUCAAGAUACUG